ACGUCUCAGUUUGGAUUGCAGGCUGCAACCCGCCUGCAUGAAGCCGGAAUUGCUAGUAAUCGCGGAUCAGCAUGCCGCGGUGAAUACGUUCCCGGGCCUUGUACACACCGCCCGUCACACCAUGGGAGUCGGGGGCGCCUGAAGUCCGGGACCGCGAGGACCGGCCUAGGGCGAAACUGGUAACUGGGGCUAAGUCGUAACAAGGUAUC
RNAcentral lists this ribosomal RNA (209 nucleotides) under uncultured bacterium. Its description in RNAcentral is "partial 16S ribosomal RNA". It matches the Rfam family "Bacterial small subunit ribosomal RNA", at positions 1283 to 1500 of the family's 1533-position model. The record is from RNAcentral.